CAAUUUUUACCAGAGGAAAAACAUAAAAGCUAUUGGAAAAAAAAAAGAGAACCUUUCCUGCUCUGGUUUGUGUUUACCCAAGUCCUCCCCCCUGAUCCGUCUUCUUAUCAGAGGUAUCCUACGAAAGGCAGAUAAGCAUUGUUUAUUCCAGGGGCUGAGUGUGUUUGCCUCACUGAAGGGGGGAGCAGACACUGUUUGCUUCACGGAGCCAUAGGGAAAAAAAAUGAAUAAAAGCUAUAAAAAAAAUAGCAGCAGCUACUUAGAACAAGACUACAUGAAGUUACACAGUGGCCUCCACUCUUCUUCCUCUGGCAAAGGCCAACAGACCUAUCCAUGUAUAUUUGGUAAUAUAAAGCCUGAAUUGUUCCUUAUUUGAUGAUAAAUUAUCAAGGAGGUAACAACCCCUAUCUGGUCAGAAUAUAUGUGAUAUAGGUUUGUUUGCCUGUGCCAAACGAACAUGAAGCACUGAGGCCACAGCAUAACUGGCCUAUGCUGUGUGAGCAUUGUAUUUAGGGAGUUGCCAAGUGAUUCUGGAUUUACCUUUGCUUUCUAUUGAAUAUUUUUUUGUAACUAAUACUUUUGUUUUCCGUGGUCUUAAUAACUAUUACCUCUAGUUUCUCUAUUUCUUUGCAGUCCUAUCUUAAACAAUUAUUAAAAGAUCUACUCGCCUUAAGUAUGAAUAUUCAACAACUACAGUUGAUAAUUCUGAAUUGUCAACAAUACUCCAAUUGAACUUGUAUUAAUUACAUUAUCUUAACUUUUUUUUUUUUCCCCUAAUUCUUUGAAGUAUUUGCUUACUUUGAAUUAAAACAUUGUUUAACUAGUUUUACUUUCUUCAUAAAUCAGAGCUAUAACUAUUUUAAUCAAAACAAUUUUGACCAAUAUUAUAAUUUCUUUGAUUCUCAAUAAUUUGUCUAUUUGAAGGUGAAAUCUCGUUUAAUUCUAAAACUGGUGUAUCAACUUCCCAAUAUACUUGUUAUCUCAUGCUUUUUAACGAUUGUAUUAACAGGGUAUUUAUUUUCAACAAUGAAUAAUUCGCAUAUUAAAAGAUAAUCCUAUCUUGUUGAGAAAAAACUUCAAUUUCUAACACUGUAUGUCCAUUAGAACAAUGCAUCAACUAAAUUAAAAUCUAGACAGUAUAUUCAUAUAAAAUCAUAUUAUCCACUAAGAAGAACCUGAAUUAAAUAUUUUGUUUGGAAAUAAAAUAAAUAAGAAAGUGAAAAGCAUAGGAAUUAAAUAACAGCAAUGAUAAUAAUAAUAAAUAAUUCAACAGAAGAAAAUAAACACUUAAAUAAUCUCUAAAAUGAAAAAUGAAAAUAAUAACUAAUACAUUGAGAGACAAACCAUACACAUUCCCAUAACCUUUUAAUAUUAUCUCAUUUCAAAUCAUACAUUAAGAGUAUUCAUCCAGUAAUUCUAUUCUUUAACUUCUCCCAAAAAAGUAGAAUACCAUGACAAAGAGUAAUUAAACAAUAAUAAAUACUCUUUAUUGCCUUCUCAAGCAGUAACUUCUUUUAUUGAAUAGUUUGCCUUCAAUAAUCAAAAUAUGACAACAAUUACGUAUUAAAUGUAUUUUAAAACUAAUAAUAGUAGGUAUUUACUAUGCUGGAUAUAUAUAUAUCUGUUUUUGCUUUAAUGUGUUUUUGUGAUGUGUUUUUAUUACAUGGCAAUAAAUAAUUUUACUCUCA
This 1688-nucleotide long non-coding RNA is filed under the name Penaeus japonicus. Its description in RNAcentral is "uncharacterized LOC122266207". The record is from RNAcentral. Lineage: Eukaryota; Metazoa; Arthropoda; Malacostraca; Decapoda; Penaeidae.